RNAcentral lists this unclassified non-coding RNA (224 nucleotides) under Archaeospora sp. RNAcentral describes it as "partial contains 5.8S ribosomal RNA and internal transcribed spacer 2". The stretch from base 1 to 71 matches the Rfam family "5.8S ribosomal RNA", at positions 84 to 154 of the family's 154-position model. The record is from RNAcentral. Lineage: Eukaryota; Fungi; Glomeromycota; Glomeromycetes; Archaeosporales; Archaeosporaceae.
GUGAAUCAUCGAAUCUUUGAACGCAUCUUGCGCUCUCUGGUAUUCCGGGGAGUAUGCCUAUUUGAGGGUCAUUUGAAAUAAUAUACAUUCCAACAUUUCUCGGUAUUUAAAAUGGGUGGUCCAUGUUUUGUGCUCGCCUAACAUCCAAGACAAGCUCAUUUUCAUUGGUUGCGUGAUACUUUCAGUUAUCUGGUGACUUAACCAGGAAUCAUCAUGCCGGUUGU